RNAcentral lists this ribosomal RNA (801 nucleotides) under uncultured bacterium. RNAcentral describes it as "bacterial SSU rRNA". It matches the Rfam family "Bacterial small subunit ribosomal RNA", at positions 67 to 871 of the family's 1533-position model. The record is from RNAcentral.
GGUAACAGGGAGCUUGCUCCGCUGACGACCGGCGCACGGGUGCGUAACGCGUAUACAAUCUACCUUUUGCUACGGGAUAGCCCAGAGAAAUUUGGAUUAAUACCGCAUAGUAUAUAUGAAUCGCAUGGUUUAUAUAUUAAAGGUUACGGCAGAAGAUGAGUAUGCGUUCUAUUAGCUAGAUGGUGUGGUAACGGCAUACCAUGGCAACGAUAGAUAGGGGCCCUGAGAGGGGGAUCCCCCACACUGGUACUGAGACACGGACCAGACUCCUACGGGAGGCAGCAGUGAGGAAUAUUGGACAAUGGGCGAGAGCCUGAUCCAGCCAUGCCGCGUGCAGGAAGACGGCCCUAUGGGUUGUAAACUGCUUUUAUACAGGAAGAAACACCUCUACGUGUAGAGGCUUGACGGUACUGUAAGAAUAAGGAUCGGCUAACUCCGUGCCAGCAGCCGCGGUAAUACGGAGGAUCCAAGCGUUAUCCGGAAUCAUUGGGUUUAAAGGGUCCGUAGGUGGAUAAUUAAGUCAGGGGUGAAAGUCUGCGGCUCAACUGUAGAAUUGCCCUUGAUACUGGUUGUCUUGAGUCAUUAUGAAGUAGUUAGAAUAUGUAGUGUAGCGGUGAAAUGCAUAGAUAUUACAUAGAAUACCAAUUGCGAAGGCAGAUUACUAAUAAUGUACUGACACUGAUGGACGAAAGCGUGGGGAGCGAACAGGAUUAGAUACCCUGGUAGUCCACGCCGUAAACGAUGGAUACUAGCUGUUGGAGAGAGAUCUUCAGUGGCUAAGCAAAAGUGAUAAGUAUCCCA